Non-coding RNA from Odocoileus virginianus texanus, 775 nucleotides. Lineage: Eukaryota; Metazoa; Chordata; Mammalia; Artiodactyla; Cervidae. The record is from RefSeq and is a predicted model, not a curated record.
AUGUUUCUGUCUCUUCCUACGUUGACUGUCCUGAUCCCACUGGUGUCUUUGGCAGGACUGUUUUCCUCAGCCUCUGUGGAAGAGGACUUCUCUCAAGGCUGCACUAGCACCACCAGUCUGCUUUUACAGUCUGCUCUUGCCAACCACCAUACCUGUCUAUGUGUUCUUCCACCUUUGGACUUGGAUGGGUAUUAAACUCUUCAGGCAUAAUUAACGAAGCCAGAGCCAAGAUGGUACAUCUAAUGAUAUGCUUGAGUGCCUGUCUCUGAAAGCUCGUCUACAUGGAAAUACUGGAAACCGGAAAGAUGCUUUGCCUAGGUUUCUGUCAGGGGUCUAGGCCUAUGGGAGGCUUAAGCUGCAGAGGCAUCUUUACUGUACUUUGGUUCUGCCCUUGUUUUUUGAAGGUUUUCAUUUAUACCUGGGGUAUCAGAAGGAACAUUUCAACAAAGUGUCUUGUUGGAAAUGAACAGCCCCAGCCAUCACUUGAUGGCUUACCCAUUCAUAAUUAAAAGUUACUAUUUUGAAAUUUUAUGUUUAGAUUCAAAGUCUUUGGUAAUGUCACAUGUUAACGAUGACUAAUUCCAAAGGAGCUAUGUUGGAGUAGUUGUAGAGAAAUGCAUUUGAACUAAUGUGAUAUAAAACUAUAAUAAAAUGGAAACUUCAUGGACUUGCCAAAAUUCUGAGUUUUUAAAAUCACCAUCAUUUCUUUGGCAUCAAAUGCUUACAUUAAUUUUAAUAAAAUAAUAAAUAAAAAGAGAUUGACACUUGCCAUAAA